This 253-nucleotide ribosomal RNA is filed under the name uncultured bacterium. RNAcentral's name for it is "partial 16S ribosomal RNA". It matches the Rfam family "Bacterial small subunit ribosomal RNA", at positions 524 to 776 of the family's 1533-position model. The record is from RNAcentral.
UACGGAGGGUGCAAGCGUUAUCCGGAUUCACUGGGUUUAAAGGGUGCGUAGGCGGACAGGUAAGUCAGUGGUGAAAUCUCCGAGCUUAACUCGGAAACUGCCUUUGAUACUCUCUGUCUUGAAUAUGGUGGAGGUAAGCGGAAUAUGUCAUGUAGCGGUGAAAUGCUUAGAGAUGACAUAGAACACCUAUUGCGAAGGCAGCUUACUACACAGUUAUUGACGCUGAGGCACGAAAGCGUGGGGAUCAAACAGG